GAUGAACGCUAGCGGCAGGCUUAACACAUGCAAGUCGAGGGGCAGCAUAAUGGUAGUAAUACUAUUGAUGGCGACCGGCGGACGGGUGCGUAACGCGUAUGCAACCUACCCUUUACAGGGGGAUAACACUGAGAAAUCGGUACUAAUACCCCAUAAUAUUCUGGGAGGCAUCUUUCGGAGUUGAAAGCUUUGGUGGUAAAGGAUGGGCAUGCGUUGUAUUAGCUAGUUGGUAAGGUAACGGCUUACCAAGGCGACGAUACAUAGGGGGACUGAGAGGUUAACCCCCCACAUUGGUACUGAGACACGGACCAAACUCCUACGGGAGGCAGCAGUGAGGAAUAUUGGUCAAUGGACGGAAGUCUGAACCAGCCAUGCCGCGUGCAGGAAGACGGCUCUAUGAGUUGUAAACUGCUUUUGUACGAGGGUAAACGCAGAUACGUGUAUCUGCCUGAAAGUAUCGUACGAAUAAGGAUCGGCUAACUCCGUG
RNAcentral lists this ribosomal RNA (487 nucleotides) under uncultured bacterium. RNAcentral describes it as "bacterial SSU rRNA". It matches the Rfam family "Bacterial small subunit ribosomal RNA", at positions 28 to 507 of the family's 1533-position model. The record is from RNAcentral.